RNAcentral lists this ribosomal RNA (460 nucleotides) under uncultured bacterium. RNAcentral's name for it is "partial 16S ribosomal RNA". It matches the Rfam family "Bacterial small subunit ribosomal RNA", at positions 338 to 795 of the family's 1533-position model. The record is from RNAcentral.
CCUACGGGUGGCAGCAGUGAGGAAUAUUGGUCAAUGGACGAGAGUCUGAACCAGCCAAGUAGCGUGAAGGAUGACUGCCCUAUGGGUUGUAAACUUCUUUUAUAAAGGAAUAAAACGAGGCACGUGUGCCGUUUUGCAUGUACUUUAUGAAUAAGGAUCGGCUAACUCCGUGCCAGCAGCCGCGGUAAUACGGAGGAUCCGAGCGUUAUCCGGAUUUAUUGGGUUUAAAGGGAGCGUAGAUGGGUUGUUAAGUCAGUUGUGAAAGUUUGCGGCUCAACCGUAAAAUUGCAAUUGAUACUGGCAGUCUUGAGUACAGUUGAGGUAAGCGGAAUUCGUGGUGUAGCGGUGAAAUGCUUAGAUAUCACGAAGAACCCCGAUUGCGAAGGCAGCUUACUAAACUGUGACUGACAUUGAUGCUCGAAAGUGUGGGUGUCAAACAGGAUUAGAUACCCCUGUAGUC